CUGGAGGUAUCAGAAGUGCGAAUGCUGACAUAAGUAACGAUAAAGCGGGUGAAAAGCCCGCUCGCCGGAAGACCAAGGGUUCCUGUCCAACGUUAAUCGGGGCAGGGUGAGUCGACCCCUAAGGCGAGGCCGAAAGGCGUAGUCGAUGGGAAACAGGUUAAUAUUCCUGUACUUGGUGUUACUGCGAAGGGGGGACGGAGAAGGCUAUGUUGGCCGGGCGACGGUUGUCCCGGUUUAAGCGUGUAGGCUGGUUUUCCAGGCAAAUCCGGAAAAUCAAGGCUGAGGCGUGAUGACGAGGCACUACGGUGCUGAAGCAACAAAUGCCCUGCUUCCAGGAAAAGCCUCUAAGCAUCAGGUAACAUCAAAUCGUACCCCAAACCGACACAGGUGGUCAGGUAGAGAAUACCAAGGCGCUUGAGAGAACUCGGGUGAAGGAACUAGGCAAAAUGGUGCCGUAACUUCGGGAGAAGGCACGCUGAUAUGUAGGUGAGGUCCCUCGCGGAUGGAGCUGAAAUCAGUCGAAGAUACCAGCUGGCUGCAACUGUUUAUUAAAAACACAGCACUGUGCAAACACGAAAGUGGACGUAUACGGUGUGACGCCUGCCCGGUGCCGGAAGGUUAAUUGAUGGGGUUAGCGCA
RNAcentral lists this ribosomal RNA (639 nucleotides) under Escherichia coli. Its description in RNAcentral is "partial 23S ribosomal RNA". It matches the Rfam family "Bacterial large subunit ribosomal RNA", at positions 1273 to 1897 of the family's 2925-position model. Lineage: Bacteria; Pseudomonadati; Pseudomonadota; Gammaproteobacteria; Enterobacterales; Enterobacteriaceae. The record is from RNAcentral.